Non-coding RNA from Hypoxylon sp. FL1150, 72 nucleotides. Lineage: Eukaryota; Fungi; Ascomycota; Sordariomycetes; Xylariales; Hypoxylaceae. The record is from the annotation of a GenBank genome assembly.
GGGCGUGUAACUCAGUGGUAGAGUGCUCGCUUUGCAUGCGAGAAGCCCAGGGUUCGACUCCCUGCUCGUCCA